CAGUAGCCGCGGUAAUACGAAGGGGGCUAGCGUUGUUCGGAAUUACUGGGCGUAAAGCGCACGUAGGCGGACAUUUAAGUCAGGGGUGAAAUCCCAGAGCUCAACUCUGGAACUGCCUUUGAUACUGGGUAUCUUGAGUAUGGAAGAGGUGAGUGGAAUUCCGAGUGUAGAGGUGAAAUUCGUAGAUAUUCGGAGGAACACCAGUGGCGGAGGCGGCUCACUGGUCCAUUACUGACGCUGAGGUGCGAAAGCGUGGGGAGCAAACAGGAUUAGAUACCCCAGUAGUCCCUGUCUCUUAUAC
RNAcentral lists this ribosomal RNA (301 nucleotides) under uncultured bacterium. Its description in RNAcentral is "partial 16S ribosomal RNA". It matches the Rfam family "Bacterial small subunit ribosomal RNA", at positions 509 to 807 of the family's 1533-position model. The record is from RNAcentral.